GAUGAACGCUGGCGGCGUGCCUAAUACAUGCAAGUCGAGCGAACAGACGAGGAGCUUGCUCCUCUGACGUUAGCGGCGGACGGGUGAGUAACACGUGGAUAACCUACCUAUAAGACUGGGAUAACUUCGGGAAACCGGAGCUAAUACCGGAUAAUAUAUUGAACCGCAUGGUUCAAUAGUGAAAGACGGUUUUGCUGUCACUUAUAGAUGGAUCCGCGCCGCAUUAGCUAGAUGGUAAGGUAACGGCUUACCAAGGCAACGAUGCGUAGCCGACCUGAGAGGGUGGUCGGCCAAACUGGAACGGAGACACGGUCCAGACCCCUACGGGAGGCAGCAGUAGGGAAUCUGCCGAAAGGGGCGAAAGCCUGACGGAGCAACGCCGCGGGAGUGAUGAAGGUCUUCGGAUCGUAAAACUCUUUUAUUAGGAAAGAACAAAUGUGUAAGUAACUAUGCACGUCCUGACGGUACCUAAUCAGAAAGCCACGGCUAACUACGU
Molecule: ribosomal RNA, 496 nt
Filed under: uncultured bacterium
Lineage: Bacteria
Description: partial 16S ribosomal RNA
Rfam family: Bacterial small subunit ribosomal RNA
Source: RNAcentral